UCAAAACUGGCUUUCACCCCUUCCC
RNAcentral lists this non-coding RNA (25 nucleotides) under Rattus norvegicus (Norway rat). The record is from RNAcentral. Lineage: Eukaryota; Metazoa; Chordata; Mammalia; Rodentia; Muridae.